RNAcentral lists this ribosomal RNA (497 nucleotides) under uncultured bacterium. Its description in RNAcentral is "partial 16S ribosomal RNA". It matches the Rfam family "Bacterial small subunit ribosomal RNA", at positions 28 to 507 of the family's 1533-position model. The record is from RNAcentral.
GAUGAACGCUGGCGGCGUGCCUAAUACAUGCAAGUCGAGCGAACGGACGAGAAGCUUGCUUCUCUGAUGUUAGCGGCGGACGGGUGAGUAACACGUGGAUAACCUACCUAUAAGACUGGGAUAACUUCGGGAAACCGGAGCUAAUACCGGAUAAUAUUUUGAACCGCAUGGUUCAAAAGUAAAAGACGGUCUUGCUGUCACUUAUAGAUGGAUCCGCGCUGCAUUAGCUAGUUGGUAAGGUAACGGCUUACCAAGGCAACGAUGCAUAGUCGACCUGAGAGGGUGAUCGGCCACACUGGAACUGAGACACGGUCCAGACUCCUACGGGAGGCAGCAGUAGGGAAUCUUCCGCAAUGGGCGAAAGCCUGACGGAGCAACGCCGCGUGAGUGAUGAAGGUCUUCGGAUCGUAAAACUCUGUUAUUAGGGAAGAACAUAUGUGUAAGUAACUGUGCACAUCUUGACGGUACCUAAUCAGAAAGCCACGGCUAACUACGUG